UUUCAACUUAGGGGUGCCUGCCUGCCUGCCCUUCAUUUCAGGAUUCUGUAAACAACUGUCCUCAUCCUGGCUAUCCUUUCGUUGGUUUUUUCUGGGAGACAUGGGGGAGAAGGUAGAGACAAAGGUUUACAGAGUAAGGAAGAGAAACAAGGAACUAGAGAAAGGAAGCAGGAAGGUUUGUACAGUUUCAAUUUGUUAGGUCUUGCUAGUUUUGGUGAUGGAUAGCUUGCUCGAAGCCGCUUCAAGCAGUACUACUUGGGGGAACCUUUCCAGUAUCAACACACCCAACUCUCAUAUAAGGCGUUGCAAUUGAUAGAAUCAAAGGCUGGACAUGGAUCAAAUUGCUAGCCCAAGCAGUAGACGAGGUAUGAAUUGAGGCUUUUCUUUGAUACACCUA
Vitis riparia (riverbank grape) is the source of this 397-nucleotide long non-coding RNA. RefSeq lists it as uncharacterized. The transcript is spliced from 3 exons. The record is from RefSeq and is a predicted model, not a curated record. Lineage: Eukaryota; Viridiplantae; Streptophyta; Magnoliopsida; Vitales; Vitaceae.